Molecule: ribosomal RNA, 568 nt
Filed under: uncultured bacterium
Lineage: Bacteria
Description: partial 16S ribosomal RNA
Rfam family: Bacterial small subunit ribosomal RNA
Source: RNAcentral
UGGGGAAUUUGGACAAUGGGCGAAGCCUGAUCCAGCAAUGCCGCGUGUGUGAAGAAGGCCUUCGGGUUGUAAAGCACUUUUGUCCGGAAAGAAAUCCUUGGCUCUAAUACAGUCGGGGGAUGACGGUACCGGAAGAAUAAGCACCGGCUAACUACGUGCCAGCAGCCGCGGUAAUACGUAGGGUGCAAGCGUUAAUCGGAAUUACUGGGCGUAAAGCGUGCGCAGGCGGUUUGCUAAGACCGAUGUGAAAUCCCCGGGCUCAACCUGGGAACUGCAUUGGUGACUGGCAGGCUAGAGUAUGGCAGAGGGGGGUAGAAUUCCACGUGUAGCAGUGAAAUGCGUAGAGAUGUGGAGGAAUACCGAUGGCGAAGGCAGCCCCCUGGGCAAUACUGACGCUCAUGCACGAAAGCGUGGGGAGCAAACAGGAUUAGAUACCCUGGUAGUCCACGCCCUAAACGAUGUCAACUAGUUGUUGGGGAUUCAUUUCCUUAGUAACGUAGCUAACGCGUGAAGUUGACCGCCUGGGGAGUACGGUCGCAAGAUUAAAACUCAAAGGAAUUGACGGGGU